UCUCUGUUAGUAUAUCGGUCAGUACACGCGCCUGUCAUUUGGCGUUGUUGUCAAUGCAUCGGUCGCGCGAAAGCGGGGUUCGACUCCCCGACAGAGAG
Molecule: non-coding RNA, 98 nt
Organism: Lentinus tigrinus ALCF2SS1-7
Lineage: Eukaryota; Fungi; Basidiomycota; Agaricomycetes; Polyporales; Polyporaceae
Source: the annotation of a GenBank genome assembly